This 550-nucleotide ribosomal RNA is filed under the name uncultured bacterium. RNAcentral's name for it is "bacterial SSU rRNA". It matches the Rfam family "Bacterial small subunit ribosomal RNA", at positions 355 to 896 of the family's 1533-position model. The record is from RNAcentral.
UAGGGAAUCUUCCGCAAUGGGCGAAAGCCUGACGGAGCAACGCCGCGUGAGUGAUGAAGGUCUUCGGAUCGUAAAACUCUGUUAUUAGGGAAGAACAAAUGUGUAAGUAACUAUGCACGUCUUGACGGUACCUAAUCAGAAAGCCACGGCUAACUACGUGCCAGCAGCCGCGGUAAUACGUAGGUGGCAAGCGUUAUCCGGAAUUAUUGGGCGUAAAGCGCGCGUAGGCGGUUUUUUAAGUCUGAUGUGAAAGCCCACGGCUCAACCGUGGAGGGUCAUUGGAAACUGGAAAACUUGAGUGCAGAAGAGGAAAGUGGAAUUCCAUGUGUAGCGGUGAAAUGCGCAGAGAUAUGGAGGAACACCAGUGGCGAAGGCGACUUUCUGGUCUGUAACUGACGCUGAUGUGCGAAAGCGUGGGGAUCAAACAGGAUUAGAUACCCUGGUAGUCCACGCCGUAAACGAUGAGUGCUAAGUGUUAGGGGGUUUCCGCCCCUUAGUGCUGCAGCUAACGCAUUAAGCACCCCGCCUGGGGAGUACGACCGCAAGGUUG